Molecule: long non-coding RNA, 824 nt
Filed under: Phoenix dactylifera (date palm)
Lineage: Eukaryota; Viridiplantae; Streptophyta; Magnoliopsida; Arecales; Arecaceae
Description: long non-coding RNA (PDAC_LNC002367)
Source: RNAcentral
UCAACGAAUAAUUAUUUUACCAAAUAACUUGGAAAUAUCCUUUGAAGCAUUAGAUUACUUACCUCUUAUCACUUCAAAAAUUUUACUUCAGAUAGACAGGUCAGGUACACCUGUUUUACUAUAAUUAACACAUCAUAAAUUUCAUCAUCAUUCUAGAAUCAAGCAAAGUCAAAAUUAAACACCACUCAAGAACGACCUCAUGCCUCCAAAUCAGAUUGAUCAGCUGAUAAUGCCUGAUUGCCUAGAUCAGUCCAAGCAAGCUAAACUAAACUGAUCGAGAUCAGAUAUGAUUUAAGUGACUCAAUGAAAGUCAAUGAUGAUCGAAUUCCAAAAAGAUUUGAUAACGCUGAAGUAAAGGGCCUGUCUACCGUCUGGGUAUCGAGGUGGUUCAAGGUUUCUUAACUGGAUCAACCUUGGAUAUGAGCAACAAAAAAAGUCGGGCUCACACUGGGAUUCCCGAGCUUGUCUAGAGAGAAAAGAGGGAGAGGAGAGAGAAUCUCAGCCCAAGUUGAAUCAGGGAGAGGAGAGAGAAUCUCAGCUCGGGUUCAGUCAGGAGUCUAGGUUUGUCCGUCAUAGUAGCAUAAACCAUCACAACAUUUGACCAUAGGCUUGGAAGCGAAAUUAACAAUUUUAGGGAAGAACAACAAAAUCCAUAUAUUUAUAGAGAUCUAAUAAUUAAAUAAAAAGAAAGAAUGGGAAGAAGAAUAAAUAAAAACUAAGAAGAAGGAGAAGAAGUCGGAAAGGAAGAGAGGGAAAGAAGGAGGAGAAGGAAGUAGCUAGAGAAGAAGGUCCAGUAGCGGUCGGGCCUAGGUAGUCGACGGCUA